This 253-nucleotide ribosomal RNA is filed under the name uncultured bacterium. Its description in RNAcentral is "partial 16S ribosomal RNA". It matches the Rfam family "Bacterial small subunit ribosomal RNA", at positions 524 to 776 of the family's 1533-position model. The record is from RNAcentral.
GACAGAGGGUGCAAACGUUGUUCGGAAUUACUGGGCGUAAAGCGCGUGUAGGCGGCUAAGUAAGUCGGGCGUGAAAUCCCACGGCUCAACCGUGGAAGUGCACUCGAAACUGCAUAGCUAGAGUCCUGGAGAGGAAGGUGGAAUGCUUGGUGUAGAGGUGAAAUUCGUAGAUAUCAAGCGGAACACCGGUGGCGAAGGCGGCCUUCUGGACAGUGGCUGACGCUGAGACGCGAAAGCGUGGGGAGCAAACAGG